GAUGAACGCUGGCGGCGUGCCUAAUACAUGCAAGUCGAGCGAACAGACGAGGAGCUUGCUCCUCUGAUGUUAGCGGCGGACGGGUGAGUAACACGUGGAUAACCUACCUAUAAGACUGGGAUAACUUCGGGAAACCGGAGCUAAUACCGGAUAAUAUUUUGAACCGCAUGGUUCAAUAGUGAAAGACGGUUUUGCUGUCACUUAUAGAUGGAUCCGCGCCGCAUUAGCUAGUUGGUAAGGUAACGGCUUACCAAGGCAACGAUGCGUAGCCGACCUGAGAGGGUGGUCGGCCACACUGGAACUGAGACACGGUCCAGACUCCUACGGGAGGCAGCAGUAGGGAAUCUUCCGCAAUGGGCGAAAGCCUGACGGAGCAACGCCGCGUGAGUGAUGAAGGUCUUCGGAUCGUAAAACUCUGUUAUUAGGGAAGAACAAAUGUGUAAGUAACUGUGCACAUCUUGACGGUACCUAAUCAGAAAGCCACGGCUAACUACGUG
RNAcentral lists this ribosomal RNA (497 nucleotides) under uncultured bacterium. RNAcentral describes it as "partial 16S ribosomal RNA". It matches the Rfam family "Bacterial small subunit ribosomal RNA", at positions 28 to 507 of the family's 1533-position model. The record is from RNAcentral.